RNAcentral lists this ribosomal RNA (598 nucleotides) under Colletotrichum fragariae. RNAcentral describes it as "eukaryotic LSU rRNA". It matches the Rfam family "Eukaryotic large subunit ribosomal RNA", at positions 1 to 608 of the family's 3401-position model. The record is from RNAcentral. Lineage: Eukaryota; Fungi; Ascomycota; Sordariomycetes; Glomerellales; Glomerellaceae.
GUUGACCUCGGAUCAGGUAGGAAUACCCGCUGAACUUAAGCAUAUCAAUAAGCGGAGGAAAAGAAACCAACAGGGAUUGCCUCAGUAACGGCGAGUGAAGCGGCAACAGCUCAAAUUUGAAAUCUGGCCCUAGGCCCGAGUUGUAAUUUGCAGAGGAUGCUUUUGGUGCGGUGCCUUCCAAGUUCCCUAGAACGGGACGCCAGAGAGGGUGAGAGCCCCGUACAGUUGGACACCAAGCCUUUGUAAAGCUCCUUCGACGAGUCGAGUAGUUUGGGAAUGCUGCUCAAAAUGGGAGGUAUAUUUCUUCUAAAGCUAAAUACCGGCCAGAGACCGAUAGCGCACAAGUAGAGUGAUCGAAAGAUGAAAAGCACUUUGAAAAGAGGGUUAAACAGCACGUGAAAUUGUUAAAAGGGAAGCGCUUGUGACCAGACUUGCGUCCGGUGAAUCACCCAGCUCUCGCGGCUGGGGCACUUCGCCGGCUCAGGCCAGCAUCAGCUCGCUGUCGGGGACAAAAGCUUCGGGAACGUAGCUCUCUUCGGGGAGUGUUAUAGCCUGUUGCACAAUACCCUUCGGCGGGCUGAGGUACGCGCUCCGCAAG